Non-coding RNA from Danio rerio (zebrafish), 1169 nucleotides. Lineage: Eukaryota; Metazoa; Chordata; Actinopteri; Cypriniformes; Danionidae. The record is from RefSeq and is a predicted model, not a curated record.
GUUGUAAAAUGCGCCGAUUUUCAAGACGGCACGCUCCUGUGCCGACUGUUUUUUUAAAGAAGUUGGUUUCAUAAGAAACACAUGCGUGAGUAGACGAGAUAUAUCCAGCUGCAGAACAUUGGAGUAAACUUUUGAUCCAAACUCCAAUCCAGGCGGUGGCGGUAAUGCUCCAAAAAGCUGGUUGCCGACUGCUAUGAAGAUCACAGGAAGAAAAAGAAGUUUGUUUGGUUUUUCAAAACUAUCACAUGGAUUCCAGUCAGAAAGAUGCAUAUGAGAAAGCUCGACUCAAACAUUCACAAGCAACUGUGAUUUCUGACUGGCAGACAGAUGAGGAUGAUGAUCGCCUGUCAUACACCUAAAGAAAGAACAGGGACAUUAAAGACAACUAUACCAUGAUGAAGAACAAUUACUUGGAACAAAGAGGCUGGAUAAAAGGCAGAUGCAGUGAGGACAAAUGUCCAUAUCACGCCACUGAUAAAGAGAUUGAAAAAUGCAUUACACAGUGGCUACAACUUGCUCCUGACAGGGAUGGAGAAAGGAGGGAAGAAGAGAAAGCUAAUGUUUCAACUGUUUACAUCAUUAUUCUAUUCUAUUCUAUUUUUUAAACAACAUUUUAUGUGUAUUAAGAUGAUCCCUGAUACUUGAGCAAUUUGUUUCUUUUCAAUUGCAUUUAUAUAUAUAUAUAUACUUUUUACAAUUUUGACUUGUAUAUUUUACGGAUUGUCAUAGGUAUUUGUAAGAUGUUUCUUGCUAUAUCUUAAAUUGAUUUCUAUAUUCAGGUUUAUAUAAAAUUUUGCUGUUUCAAGAUGUGUCUUGUACAAUUUUUUAAAGUCAUGUCUAUUGGGAAAACAGGGUUGUUUUAAAAACUUCUGUGUAUGUGUGCAAUUUCAGAUUUUUUCUUUAAGUCUUCCUGUGUGUCUUUAUGUUUUUAUUGUUUUUUUUUAUAUUGAUAUUCUUGUGCACUACAAAAUUAUUUAUUCAAUUUUAGUACUAUUUUUUUUUCUUGCAAUCAAUAAACGUUUAUCAUGUAUUUAUUUUGUCCUUUGUCUGAUUCUUUUCGUUAUAGUAUAUGUAUGCAGUUUGCAUUUUAUUCAAAGAUUAAACACAGUGCCUAUACUUUCUGUUUACAUUAUAGCCUGCGUUUGCUGUUAUAUAAAUUCAAAUGGUUG